This 369-nucleotide ribosomal RNA is filed under the name uncultured organism. RNAcentral describes it as "bacterial SSU rRNA". It matches the Rfam family "Bacterial small subunit ribosomal RNA", at positions 525 to 896 of the family's 1533-position model. The record is from RNAcentral.
ACGGAGGGUGCAAGCGUUAUCCGGAUUCACUGGGUUUAAAGGGUGUGUAGGCGGAUAUCUAAGUCAGUGGUGAAAUCUCCGGGCUCAACCCGGAAACUGCCAUUGAUACUAUUUAUCUUGAAUAUCGUUGAGGUUGGCGGAAUAUAUCAUGUAGCGGUGAAAUGCAUAGAUAUGAUAUAGAACACCGAUUGCGAAGGCAGCUAACUAAACGAUUAUUGACGCUGAGGCACGAAAGCGUGGGGAUCAAACAGGAUUAGAUACCCUGGUAGUCCACGCCCUAAACUAUGAUUACUCGACAUACGCGAUACACAGUGUGUGUCUGAGCGAAAGCAUUAAGUAAUCCACCUGGGAAGUACGUCCGCAAGGAUG